Long non-coding RNA from Aedes albopictus (Asian tiger mosquito), 2482 nucleotides. RefSeq lists it as uncharacterized. Lineage: Eukaryota; Metazoa; Arthropoda; Insecta; Diptera; Culicidae. The record is from RefSeq and is a predicted model, not a curated record. The transcript is spliced from 3 exons.
UAAAUUCAAGAGCAAAUUUUCAAUCCGACCUAAGUAACAAAAUAAACAAAAAUGAGAUUUUUGCAUAUAAUGAUACCUAACGGACUGCUUAACACUGUUAUGCAAGGACAAAAGUUAAAAGUAGUCAAAAACCUUAGAAAUUUCAAAAAUCAAAUUGACUCAAGUAACAUACUGAGCACUUUUCGUAUGUGUCGCUUUGUCGGUACAAUGACUUAUGUAACGCGCAUAACUCUCAAGCGACGUAACAGUGCCGUCAAAACGACCUAACAACCAAAAUGUUGUCAACAUAAAUCAUAAUUGUUUACGUCAAAACUAAAACUGACCUUAAUUAAAUCACCUGUACAAUCCCCAGCGGGUUACCUUCUAUAAGAGACUCGUUCGAUCUUUUCCAGGACUCGCUUGAUGAAUCGCACCAGAAAGGAGACCGUUCGAUGGCAGAUCCGGAUGAUGGUGUACCGAAUAUGCAAAUAUAUCUACUCGGUGUACCGAUAUCUAAACAUUGCCAAGCCUCUGUACCCGGAACACUUUGGUAAGCUUGAGUGCCUCGAACCGACCACCAGUCCUCGAUUCACAGGGGCGAUGUUGCUGACCACAAACUUUUUGAUGAAUUCGAGGUGGGUCUGGCACUGAAAGCCUUGUGUCGCCAGAGAUGGCCCGUUGCUUGUCCGGCGAAGUGAAAUCCCAUAGAAAUCUUUCUGGUAGCGAACCGAUCACAGCUGUGCAGGAAGAAACACGGUAUCAAUCGCUGGCGUUAUUAUUAAGGGAACGUGAGAGAAGAACCGGGAGGUGCAGGUGAAAAUCCUCCGAUUAUUUAAAAAACUCAAACCCAACGACCAGGACGCUAAUGCCAUCAGAGACGUCCAAAAACCUCGAGAACUAUAUUCAGUAUGGGUGCUUACGAACAGUAUCAGAACCAUACAGUGACCACGAACUCUGUACUAUCUUGGAAUAUCUCAAUUUCUGGACAUAAGGAUACGAUGUCGGGGAUCUCGUUCAUCCUGAUCGAUUUCCAGCACACAUUGGUGAAGUUCAUGAAGUUAUUGUUUGUUCUGAAAACACUGAAAAAAUAAACCGAUUCCAUUGCCUUCCAGAAGCUCAACUGCGUCAGUCAAAUUUGAGAUAAAAUGUUUGUUUUUUUUUUUUAAAUAAUUAUCAAUAAAGGAAAUAUUUACCACAGUAUGCAUCUAUGAAAGGGGGUUCGCUGGACACUUAGCUAUCCGAAAUAUACCUAGGAUACCACCAGGCUCGCCACCAGGGUAAUUAUAUAUAAUUCAUCUCAUCACCUUUUAAAUUAAUCAUUUAAUGUAUCAAUGAGGUAGUGAUAAAGUUUGAGUUUUUAUUUUUUGUUAUGAUAUCUGAUUUUAUAUUGUUCAAUGCUAUGAGUCAGGCCCGGAUUAAGGAUUGUGGGGGCCCGGGGCCCGAGCGGAUGUGGAGGCCCUUCUGAGAGAUGACCAAAAAUGUUUUUCCUUAUUUUCGAACAGUACUUGAGUAAUAUGAAAAAUUAAGCUAAUGUUAGCAAGCAAAAAAGGUUUUUGUGGGGGGCCCCAAAAAUCUGGGGGCCCAGGCCCCCUCGGCCCCCCCUUAGAUCCGGCCCUGUGAGUUUGUCAGUGACUAAUUUUUGCAGAUAUAUUUUUAUUCAUCAGCAACGCUAUGAUUACGGCCAAGAUACCUUUAAGUCGCAAAUGGAGAAACCGAGGGAGAAACAAUGUGUACCAUGUUCUUUUGUGGGCUUCGUGACUGUGAGGUUAGCGGCGUCAGUAGUCUAGCCGUUUCGAAAGCCUAAGAGUGUGGAUUCGAUUCCCGCUUUAGUCGGGGAAACCUUUCGUCCAACGAAAAAUUCUCCCCUGGACCAAUGAAUGUUUUCUGUGUUGUCAGUUGUCUCAUGUUAGUGAUCGUUCAAUAUGUGCAACCUCUGAUUGAAGACGGUGCAGUUUUUGUUUUCCAUAAGAAAGAAUCAAGUCUGGCGUUCGCUGUUCAAAUCGAUGCCAGAAGUUUCUAAGAUAACUAAACAAAAACUGUAUCAAAAUCGGUACUUUUUUGCCUCUUAAUGGCAAUGGAGUAAUGCGUCAUGCACUACACUAAGGAUAUGGGUAAUGCAAGGGGUAAUGUAAGAAUAGAUCUAAAAAUUGGUUGCAGUGAUAUACCCAAACAGGAAUAAAUAAUGGGCUGUAGAAAAAAAACUGCAUAAAAAAAUCGCCCCGCACCAAAUAUACUAUGCUCAAAACGCUUAUAAGACCAGUAUUUCUCUAUGGAUACAAGAUAUAGACAUAUAGAUAUAGAUAUGAUCGAGGAUCUGCAAGCACCCGGAAUAUUCGAGCCACGCGUGUUAAGGAUGAUCUUCGGUGGUGUGCAGCGGAAAAUAAACCACGAGCUCGCUGCACUCUACGGCGAACCCAGCAUCCAGAAGGUUAUCAAGGUCGGAAGGAUACGGUGGGCAGGGCAUGUAGCAAGAAUGCCGGUAAACAACCCUGCUAAGCUGGUG